This 460-nucleotide ribosomal RNA is filed under the name uncultured bacterium. RNAcentral's name for it is "partial 16S ribosomal RNA". It matches the Rfam family "Bacterial small subunit ribosomal RNA", at positions 338 to 795 of the family's 1533-position model. The record is from RNAcentral.
CCUACGGGAGGCAGCAGUGAGGAAUAUUGGUCAAUGGGCGCGAGUCUGAACCAGCCAAGUAGCGUGAAGGAUGACUGCCCUACGGGUUGUAAACUUCUUUUAUAAAGGAAUAAAGUGAUGCACGUGUGCCUUUUUGUAUGUACUUUAUGAAUAAGGAUCGGCUAACUCCGUGCCAGCAGCCGCGGUAAUACGGAGGAUCCGAGCGUUAUCCGGAUUUAUUGGGUUUAAAGGGAGCGUAGAUGGGUUGUUAAGUCAGUUGUGAAAGUUUGCGGCUCAACCGUAAAAUUGCAAUUGAUACUGGCAGCCUUGAGUACAGUAGAGGUAGGCGGAAUUCGUGGUGUAGCGGUGAAAUGCUUAGAUAUCACGAAGAACUCCGAUUGCGAAGGCAGCCUACUAAACUGCAACUGACAUUGAUGCUCGAAAGUGUGGGUAUCAAACAGGAUUAGAUACCCCAGUAGUC